GACGAACGCUGGCGGCGUGCUUAACACAUGCCAGUCGAACGGAAAGGCCCUGCUUUUGUGGGGUGCUCGAGUGGCGAACGGGUGAGUAACACGUGAGUAACCUGCCCUUGACUUUGGGAUAACUUCAGGAAACUGGGGCUAAUACCGGAUAGGAGCUCCUGCUGCAUGGUGGGGGUUGGAAAGUUUCGGCGGUUGGGGAUGGACUCGCGGCUUAUCAGCUUGUUGGUGGGGUAGUGGCUUACCAAGGCUUUGACGGGUAGCCGGCCUGAGAGGGUGACCGGCCACAUUGGGACUGAGAUACGGCCCAGACUCCUACGGGAGGCAGCAGUGGGGAAUAUAGCACAAUGGGCGGAAGCUUGAUGCAGCAACGCCGCGUGCGGGAUGACGGCCUUCGGGUUGUAAACCGCUUUCGCCUGUGACGAAGCGUGAGUGACGGUAAUGGGUAAAGAAGCACCGGCUAACUACGUG
RNAcentral lists this ribosomal RNA (468 nucleotides) under uncultured bacterium. RNAcentral's name for it is "partial 16S ribosomal RNA". It matches the Rfam family "Bacterial small subunit ribosomal RNA", at positions 28 to 507 of the family's 1533-position model. The record is from RNAcentral.